This 690-nucleotide ribosomal RNA is filed under the name uncultured bacterium. RNAcentral's name for it is "bacterial SSU rRNA". It matches the Rfam family "Bacterial small subunit ribosomal RNA", at positions 97 to 773 of the family's 1533-position model. The record is from RNAcentral.
GGCGGACGGGUGAGUAACACGUGAACAAUCUGCCCUCAAAUUUGGGAUAACGGCUCCAACGAGCCGCUAAUACCGGAUAGGUUUAUCUGAUCACCUGGUUGGAUAAAGAAAGUUGCAACUGCAACGUUUGAGGAUGAGUUCGCGGCCCAUUAGCUAGUUGGCGGGGUAAAGGCCCACCAAGGCGACGAUGGGUAGCCGGCCUGAGAGGGUGAUCGGCCACAUUGGGACUGAGAUACGGCCCAGACUCCUACGGGAGGCAGCAGUAGGGAAUUUUGCGCAAUGGACGAAAGUCUGACGCAGCAACACCGUGUGAGGGAUGAAGCAUUUCGGUGUGUAAACCUCUGUCGAUGAUGAAUAAAGCGUGUGGGAGUGGAAAGCCCAUGCGUUGAAGGUAAUCAUGAAGGAAGCACCGGCUAACUCUGUGCCAGCAGCCGCGGUAAUACAGGGGGUGCAAGCGUUGUUCGGAAUCACUGGGCGUAAAGGGAGCGUAGGCGGAACUACAAGACAGGGGUUAAAGAUCCGGGCUCAACCUGGAGAGUGCCUUUGUGACUGUGGUUCUUGAGUAUGGUAGAGGUCAGCGGAAUUUCCGGUGUAGCGGUGGAAUGCGUAGAGAUCGGAAAGAACACCAGAGGCGAAGGCGGCUGACUGGACCAAUACUGACGCUGAGGCUCGAAAGCGUGGGGAGCAAAC